AUCCUUUUCCGGGGCGUAGCAUGAUUGGGUUUGCUCACGUUUGUAUGACAUGUGCCUCCCAUAAGCCUUGUUACGACGUCGACACGUUACCUGUCUGACA
Echinops telfairi (small Madagascar hedgehog) is the source of this 100-nucleotide small nucleolar RNA. NCBI's taxonomy places the organism in Eukaryota, Metazoa, Chordata, Mammalia, Afrosoricida, Tenrecidae. The record is from Ensembl.